GUCCAAGGUGAUUCCCUCUCCAUGGGGCCAACUAAUGCCCUUCUCAGGAACGUAGCAACUUGGAAGAAAACCUGGUAUGCCUAAGGACUUGAGGGAGCAAGGGAUGCACAUUUCCUUUGCUUCACUUUGGCUGCCUACAUGC
RNAcentral lists this small nucleolar RNA (142 nucleotides) under Nannospalax galili (Upper Galilee mountains blind mole rat). RNAcentral's name for it is "Small nucleolar RNA SNORA67 (ENSNGAG00000006860.1)". It matches the Rfam family "Small nucleolar RNA SNORA67". Rfam says of the family: U67 belongs to the H/ACA class of snoRNAs which are thought to guide the sites of modification of uridines to pseudouridines. Lineage: Eukaryota; Metazoa; Chordata; Mammalia; Rodentia; Spalacidae. The record is from Rfam by way of RNAcentral.